Molecule: long non-coding RNA, 3668 nt
Organism: Oreochromis niloticus (Nile tilapia)
Lineage: Eukaryota; Metazoa; Chordata; Actinopteri; Cichliformes; Cichlidae
Exons: 3
Source: RefSeq, a predicted model, not a curated record
CAUGGAUUCCCAGUCAAGGCCGAAGCGUACUCGACGCCGGCCCGGACAUUUGCUGGACUACAGAGUGGACAGUUAAGGUUGUGGGGACACUAAACCUCUUGGGGGGGGCUGUGUAAUGACCUGGCUGGGGUUGUUAGCCAGGUGCAUUCUGGGUAUUGUGUUGUCUGUGUUUUCUAUUGUUCUGCUAGUUCCUAUGUGUUUGAUUCGCAUGUUGUGUUAGUGUUAUGUUAAUGUAAGCCACAGUGAAGUUGAUGUGUGUUCUGUGGAGCGGGUUGAUGUGGCAUGGUUGGCUGACACCGCGACCCUAUGUGGUGGGAGCGUGAUAGGGGUUCGGUGUCAGCAGCAUUACAGUGGUUGUAAAAAUUGUUGAAUAAAUGACUGGUGUGAACCACUACUGCCUCCUGCUGGAUCGUUUGGGGAUUACAAGCCUGCUGCUGAGACGCUCGGGGUCGUGCGGUGUAUGAGGCACGAGCGCUCUCCAUUCGCCGCGAAGUUCAGCGAUAGCUGCUAGCACCCUGCUAGCCGUUUUAGCUAAUGUUGGAGGAAAUGGGAACACUGGAUUGCAGGCAUUUGAAACUGCCUCUUCUGACCCUGGAAAAUCUUGGAAAAGUCAUCACCCCCUAUGUGAAAGAUGUUUCACAGGAUCAGUGGGCGUCUUUAGCCGAUGGUGACCCUGGAUCAAAAGUUGUCAUUCUCUUGUCCAGCAUGUGCCAUGCGGUUAUAGAAGAAAUAAGCGCCUUGGUCCUGGAGGUUGUAGAACCUCAGGUUCUUGCCAAGGGACACAAUCAUGCAAAUGGAGAUAAGGUAAGUUUGCAGGAUGGGUGCAGCUGCUGCAGAGUAACAGAAAAUAAUAUUCAAGCCAGCUUCAGAAACACCCUUCAUCACUGUUUUGGUGAAGCCCUAUCCAUGGCACAAGGUAAGUCCUACAACUCGGAUAUAUUAGUAAAGCUGUUUUCAGCAGAAAUUACUAAAAAAGUCAACACGUCGCUGGCUCGUAUCACAGGGCCAGCUCCUACCCCAAAAACUCAUGACUCAGUGACAGGUAUGAGCAUUAUACAAAUGGUGUAUAAUAUGACUGAGAUUUUUGAAUGCAUCUUGAAUAUCAGCCGAAAAAUCACAGACAGGGCAUCUGACAGCAUGACAUGCUCAGACUCUAAUUGCAAGCAGAUUUGCUGUCUAGAUGUGGAGGAGGAGGAAGAUGCAGAAAUCCCACAAAUAAGUGACUGUUCCUUAGAGAAUUCACUGUGCAUGGAUAAUCUGAGUCCUCCUCCAACUCCAGAGCUCCCUAAGUAUUCAGAAAUAUUUGUCCCUUCAGCAUUGAUUUUAGCCUACCAGGAGAAUUCUUCACCAAGUCUGGAGUCUCCUGACUGUCCAGUCAACAUGACCUUUCUUACUGUGCUUCUUGCUAAGUUAGUUGACCAUAUUGCAUCAAAAACCAGAACAUCCAUACUAAACGUGGACCUGGUUGCAUUAUUGGGUGGUGUAACAAUGAGGGCUGAAAAAGAACUGGUUUCCAUUCCCCCACCAAGUGUUGAAAACCUGCACAUCUCCAUCUAUAAAAAGCUGUGCAAGGUGUUUGGAUCCAAAUACUUGUUGCAGGCUGCCAUGGAAUCUGGUGACGAAGCAUUUGAGAUUGCUGUUUCAGAGGUUUUAGUGUCACAGCUCCAGAAAUCUUUAGUAAGGUCAAAGAAUUCUGGGACCAUAUGGAGAGUUGUCAAGGAUGGUAAACUUUCUCCAGUGCGUGAGAUUCCAACACCAGAGUCCCCCACUGAAGAAAGUAAUGAACCAAAAAUACCCCUGCCUUCAAACACAUCACCGGCCAGUACUCUCAAGAAGAGUACUGGCUGGUUUUCUCGUCUGUUCAACACGCUCAAUAGAGCCCUGGACAGUGACAUUCACAGACUUGACUAUACAGUGACAAACCCACCCGUCUGGACAAACCCUGUUCUGUAAUUUUUAUCUUGAAAACUGAUCUGAGGCUCAUUUCUCAAGAUAAAAAUAAAUGCAAUGUAGGGCUUGUUAAAAUACCUUUUAGAAAGUUAAGUUGACAAAGGAGAUCUGGAAUUUUAAAAAGACCUACAAACAAUCCUCUUUUCAAAAAGUUGGGACAUGUGCAACUAUUUAAAAAUAGUGCACAGAUAAUGAUUAUUGGACACAUAAGCUGUAAUGUUAAAUGUAAUACAUUGGAUAAUUAAAAAAAUACUAAUUUGCUUUCUUCAAAACACAAGGUAAGACAAGAGUACACUAACCAUCUGUCUGUCACUGGCCAGUUGUUCAUAUCUGACUGUGUCCAUCCUAAAUUAGCUCAGCUUGUUUAAACUAGUGUCCAGAAUACUUUUGUCAUCUGAAUGAGUGUACCAACUUUUUGGAAAGAAGGUUCUCUUUUCCAUCACCCCCAACCGGUCGCGGCAGAUGGCUGCCCCUCCCUGAACCUGGUUCUGCCGAAGGUUUCUUCCUGUUAAAAGGGAGUUUUUCCUUCCCACUGUCGCCACGUGCUUGUUCAUAGGGGAUCAUCUGAUUGUUGGAGGGUUUUUUGUAGGGUCUUUGCCUAUGGUGCUAUAUCUCUAUAACAUUGUACUGAAUUCUAAGCACCAUAGUGGUUCUGUGGGUGUUCACCAGAGGAAGGUUUUGGAGUAUUUUGCUCCCUCAGCCGCUCUCUGGUGUUCACCCUGUGUUCCUGGCUUUCAUCCAGAUUCUCCUAUUGGAAAUUCCAAAUUUAAAAAACAAAAAACAAUUGGAAAAUAAAAGACAAAAACAACUGAAAAAAACGUGGAUCUGUUGUUGUUUUUUCUCUGACUAUUUUAAAGCUUUUAGGCUGCUGCAUGUUUUAAUUACUGUGAAUAGGCUCUGAUUUGAGUGGAGAUGCAGUGUGCUCAGCACCACUCAAACAUGCUUGUAGACGUUUUUUUCACCAUUUCACAAUUAUUCUGUUUGUUAUUAAUUAAAAAAGUAAAUAAUAAGCUAACAGUUAUAGCAGUAUUGUGUAGAAGUCUUCAACUACCCCAGUUUUUUUAUAGAAACAUAAACACACAUACAUAGUUACAAUGCUAUUAUGUUGUGAUACAUUGUGAGACACCAUUGUAAUCUGACAUUCCAUCCUAUACUAUGACAUUGUCUUUGGUGCUCAGCUGAACUGUCAGUGGUACAUGAUUGGGGAAUUUAUAUAAAAAUAUUUGCGUAUAACUUGUAAAGGUUGGCACUCACAGUGGCCUAGGCAUUGUUUAGGUAAAGUUUCAUCAAGAUUGGGUCGCUUGUGUUGGAGGAAAUAGGGAACAUACAAACAUAUAAGGCUAAAAUAUGUUUUGAGACUACAGACAGAUUUUUUGGGUCGAGAAUUACUUUAAAAGGCUUUUUUAAUAGUAAAAGACGACACGGUUUAGUCACACAGCUUUGUAAUGAUUCUAACUAAACACUAGAUGGAGACAAACAUUUGGAUUCACACAAACUGAACUUCAUGUCAGACACUGGUUUUAUAAAAGUAAAUGAAAUUUAAUACAGCAAACCUUCACAUUUAUUUGUUAACUAAAACCAGUUUGAUUAGAGUCUAAACAACUUUAAAGUUUUGCAGUGAGUUUUGGAAAAGAAGACAGCAAGGUGGCUAAGGCUGGGCAACCUUUAAUCAUUUACAGAAUUUGAUAUAAUUUUUCUUAAUAUGGAAAUAAAAAUCA